CCUACGGGGGGCAGCAGUGGGGGAUAUUGCACAAUGGGGGGAACCCUGAUGCAGCGACGCCGCGUGGGUGAAGGAGUGCUUCGGCAUGUAAAGCUCUAUCGGCAGGGAAGAAGCAAGACGGUACCUGACUAAGAAGCCCCGGCUAACUACGUGCCAGCAGCCGCGGUAAUACGUAGGGGGCGAGCGUUAUCCGGAUUCACUGGGUGUAAAGGGAGCGUAUACGGCUAUGCAGGCCAGUGGUGAAAGCUCGGGGCCGAACCCCAGAACUGCCCUGCGAACGGCAGGGCUGGAGUGCGGGAGGGGCAGGCGGAAUUCCUGGUGUGGCGGGGAAAGGCGUAGAUAUCAGGAGGAACACCAGCGGCGAGGGAGGCCUGCUGGACCGCGACUGACGUUGAGGCUCGAAAGCGUGGGGAGCGAACAGGAUUAGAUACCCAGUAGUC
RNAcentral lists this ribosomal RNA (440 nucleotides) under uncultured bacterium. Its description in RNAcentral is "partial 16S ribosomal RNA". It matches the Rfam family "Bacterial small subunit ribosomal RNA", at positions 338 to 795 of the family's 1533-position model. The record is from RNAcentral.